GGGCCUGGUUUCCUAGGGGUUGGGCUCAGUGUACUCCACCUCCUCUCAGCUAAGCCUAGAGUAGAGGGCAGGAGCACCUGUGUGGGAGAGCUGCUUAAGCAAGGAGCAUUGCCUGGGCUGCCCUAGCCUCACAUUU
Non-coding RNA from Mesocricetus auratus (golden hamster), 136 nucleotides. NCBI's taxonomy places the organism in Eukaryota, Metazoa, Chordata, Mammalia, Rodentia, Cricetidae. The record is from Ensembl.